Molecule: non-coding RNA, 3584 nt
Organism: Parcubacteria group bacterium
Lineage: Bacteria
Source: Rfam
GGGCAUAUGGUGGAUGCCUUGACUUGAGAAGGCGAUGAAGGACGUGGCGUGGCUGCGAUAAGCUUCGGGGAGGCGCUUAGCAACCUAUGAUCCGGAGAUUUCCGAAUGGGGAACCCCCGCCGUGCAAACCACGGCGAGCCGUGCUUUGCACAGAAAUCCGAAGUACGAAAUACGAAAUCCGAAACAAAAAGCUUCGAAUUUCGAUAUUCGAAUUUCGAGUUUCCGCGCAGAGCGCGGCGGCGUACCCGCUGAAUUGAAACAUCUUAGUAAGCGGAGGAAAAGAAACCAACAUUCAGCUCUACGCUGUGCUAACUAAGUUACCUGCUCAAUUUUUUGGAUUUGGAGAAUAAAAAAAGAGGACCGUCGCGCGCGGCGGUCCCAGAACUCAAGCACCCCGAGGACAGAAGUCAAGCAAGGGAUGCUGAUAGUAUUAUAGCAUGCUGGUAGGUUUUGUCAAGAGUCCAAAAAUUUGAGCAGGUAUAAGGUUGGAACAGUGUUCUACUGAAUCAUUCCCUUAGUAGCGGCGAGCGAAAAGGGAGGAGCCUAGAGCUCGGGUGUGCAGCAUCGGGAAGCUUCAAAUUUCAAAGUCCAUAUUUCUAUUUUUUUCGCGAAGCAUAUUUCAAAUUAUUUCAGAAAUAUGUGGAAAUAUAUAGAAACUCAGAAAUAUGCGGACAUAUUUUGUCAUUUGGAAUUUCCGCUGCUGUGCAUCUGGGCAGUUGUAAGAUAGUAACGUCUUCCUGAUUUAUCAGAGAGGGGGGGUGUAAGUAAGACUUCGUUAGUAGAACAACUUGGAAAAGUUGGCCAAAGAGGGUGAUAGCCCCGUAUGCGAAAACGGUCUUAUAACCCCAGUUAUUAUCGACUCUUUAGAGUCGGAGCUAUGAUAUUUUUACAUGUCGUAGUUUCUUGAGUACUUCGACGACAGAAAGCGUCGGAGGAAACCGCGAGUACUAUCUCGCAAGGCUAAAUACUUCUCAAGAUCGAUAGUGAACAAGUACCGCGAGGGAAAGGUGAAAAGUAGCCCUAUUAGGGCAGUGAAAUAGUACCUGAAACCAUAUGCUUACAAGGAACCGAGGCUGAGCAUCUCACUGUCGUGAGAUGCGGAAUAUAGAAUCUUGAAUUUUGAAUUUGGAAUGAUUAUUCCAAAUUCUCCCGCCAAUCUCCGAAGGGCGAAGCCCUAGGCAAGAUUGGCGAGGAUCCCGUACUGUCCGCGAUGAAGAUAGGACAAAAUCUUCAUUCGGAGAUUGGCGGGACCCUAGCCAACUGUAGCCGCUCUCCCGCUUUCAGCGGGAUCGCGGACAGUUGCGGGACAACUUCUUCCGCCAAAGGCGGAUCCGCCUCAGGCGGAAAAUUCUGCACCGAACGAGAGUGAGGUGCUUGGUGACGGUGUGCCUAUUGAAGAAUGAGCCAACGACUUUAUCUAUGUUGCAAAGUCUAAUCCCGAAAAGGGAGAAGGCGCAGGGAAACCGAGUGUUAAAAGCGCGUUACUUUAGCUCGAUAGCUUUUUAGCUCAACAGCUCGUUAGUUUUCUAUCGAGCUAACGAGCUAAUCGGCUAACGAGCUUAAGUUAGCAGCAUGGAUAAGACCCGAAACCAGAUGAGCUUGCCAUGGCCAGGAUGAACGCCGGGUAACACCGUCGGGAGGUCCGAACCGGUGGGUUGUGCAAAACCCUCGGAUGAGCUGUGGUAAGGAGUGAAAAGCUAAUCGAAUCUGGUAAUAGCUGGUUCUCCCCGAAAUCGCUUUAGGGCUAGCGGCGUUUUAUGUCAUGCCGGAGGUAGAGCUACUGGAUGAUCCUCAAAGGGCGAAAGCUCGGAUGAUCAAUCAAACUCCGAAUGCCGGCAGGAUUACAACGCUAGUUAGACCGUGGGGGCUAAGCUCCAUGGUCGAGAGGGAAACAGCCCAGAUCGCCGUCUAAGGUCCCUAAAUUCUUGCUAAGUGUAAAAGGUAGUAAUCAGCCGAAGACAGGUAGGAGGUUGGCUUAGAGGUAGCCAUCCUUUAAAGAGUGUGUAACAACUCACUAUCAUAUCGGCCGCAUCUCACUAAGGCGAGAUACUUGAAUGACCAAUUUCUAAUUGACCUAAUUUCUAAUAAAUUUCCAAUACCCAAUUUCGGAAUUCGGUUACUGGGAUUUAUUUAGAAAUUAGAAGUUAGGAUUUAGAAAUUUGAGCACCGAACUUUAGUGAGGUGCGGUUGAUUGGCUGGUUGCGCCGAAAAUGUACCGGGGCUAAGCAAGAUACCGAAGACGCGAAUUACCUGCUCAAAUUUUUGGACUAAUAAAAUAAUAAAAAAGAGGCCACCCAUUGACGAAUGACCCCUGACCUGACUCGUGGAAGUUCUUGUUAGACGACUAUGGUCGUAACGACCGCGACGAUCACCCAAGAGCCGUAGAUGAGUGUUCCUUUCAUGGGUUCAACUCUCCACGCUUCGAUCAUGCGGCUUUCCGUAGCUCAUGAUCAUUGAGAUCGUUAUCGCCCCAAAGACUAAUGCCGAAACAAGUGAAGAAGUCGGUUCCACGACAAGCUCCUUGAUUGAGGGUUCGUUGCAAUUAUAGCAUAAAGUUAAGUUUUUUGUCGAGAGUCCAAAAAUUUGAGCAGGUAGUGGUAGGGGAGCAUUUUGUGCGCAGCGAAGGUUGACCCGCGAGGGCGACUGGAGCGCACAGAAGAGAGAAUGUUGGCAUGAGUAACCAACAAUGCCGAUGAGAAAUCGGCACUCCGUAAGCCCAAGGUUUCCGUGGCAAUGGCAAUCAACCACGGGUGAGGCGGUCCUAAGCCGAUGGCGAAAGCCGAAGGUGAUGGACAGACGGUUAAUAUUCCGUCCCACCGAUACUAUUUCGAUGGAGCGACGGUUGAAAUAAGGCCGGGCGUCUUAAUGGUUUGACGCUGUUUGCUUGAAGGAAUGUUGGACAGGCAAAUCCGUUCAACUGUCUUUUAUGGCAAAUUCCGAAAGCAGACGAAAGUUUUGGUUUUUACCAGGGCAAUCCGGCUGAAGAGCGAUCCAAGAAAAACUUCUAGAGUUAAUAGUAUUGGUUCCGUACCGCAAUCCGACACUGGUGGGCGGGGCGAGUAGCCCAAGGAGAACGAGUGAGUCCUCGUUAAGGAACUCGGCAAAAAAGCGGCCGUAAGUUAGCGAUAAGGCCUUCCCGAGCACCGCAAGGUGCGAGGGACGCAGCGAAAGUUUGCCUGGCGACUGUUUAUCAAAAACACAGCUCCCUGCUAACUCGUAAGAGGAUGUAUAGGGGGUGACGCCUGACCGAUGCGAGAAGGUUAAACGAUGGGGGUCGUAUGCAUCUCACUAAGGCGAGAUACUUGAAUGACCAAUUUCUAAUUGACCUAAUUUCUAAUAAAUUUCCAAUACCCAAUUUCGGAAUUCGGUUACUGGGAUUUAUUUAGAAAUUAGAAGUUAGGAUUUAGAAAUUUGAGCACCGAACUUUAGUGAGGUGUGUACGGCUCACUGUUGUAAGCCCUCGUCAAUGUCAGCGAUAACUAUAAUCGUUCUAAGGUAGCGCAAUUCCUUUCCGGGUAAGUUCCGGAGCGCACGAAAGGCGUAACGACUGGGCAACUGUCUCAACGAGGAGCUCGGUGAAAAUG